UCAAGUGAAGAAGCGCAUACGGUGGAUGCCUUGGCAGUCAGAGGCGAUGAAAGACGUGGUAGCCUGCGAAAAGCUUCGGGGAGUCGGCAAACAGACUUUGAUCCGGAGAUCUCUGAAUGGGGGAACCCACCUAGGAUAACCUAGGUAUCUUGUACUGAAUCCAUAGGUGCAAGAGGCGAACCAGGGGAACUGAAACAUCUAAGUACCCUGAGGAAAAGAAAUCAACCGAGAUUCCCUUAGUAGUGGCGAGCGAACGGGGAUUAGCCCUUAAGCUUCAUUGAUUUUAGCGGAACGCUCUGGAAAGUGCGGCCAUAGUGGGUGAUAGCCCCGUACGCGAAAGGAUCUUUGAAGUGAAAUCGAGUAGGACGGAGCACGAGAAACUUUGUCUGAACAUGGGGGGACCAUCCUCCAAGGCUAAAUACUACUGACUGACCGAUAGUGAACCAGUACCGUGAGGGAAAGGCGAAAAGAACCCCGGAGAGGGGAGUGAAAUAGAACCUGAAACCGUAUGCGUACAAGCAGUGGGAGCCUACUUGUUAGGUGACUGCGUACCUUUUGUAUAAUGGGUCAGCGACUUAUAUUCAGUGGCAAGCUUAACCGUAUAGGGUAGGCGUAGCGAAAGCGAGUCUUAAUAGGGCGUUUAGUCGCUGGGUAUAGACCCGAAACCGGGCGAUCUAUCCAUGAGCAGGUUGAAGGUUAGGUAACACUGACUGGAGGACCGAACCCACUCCCGUUGAAAAGGUAGGGGAUGACUUGUGGAUCGGAGUGAAAGGCUAAUCAAGCUCGGAGAUAGCUGGUUCUCCUCGAAAGCUAUUUAGGUAGCGCCUCAUGUAUCACUCUGGGGGGUAGAGCACUGUUUCGGCUAGGGGGUCAUCCCGACUUACCAAACCGAUGCAAACUCCGAAUACCCAGAAGUGCCGAGCAUGGGAGACACACGGCGGGUGCUAACGUCCGUCGUGAAAAGGGAAACAACCCAGACCGCCAGCUAAGGUCCCAAAGUUGUGGUUAAGUGGUAAACGAUGUGGGAAGGCUUAGACAGCUAGGAGGUUGGCUUAGAAGCAGCCAUCCUUUAAAGAAAGCGUAAUAGCUCACUAGUCGAGUCGGCCUGCGCGGAAGAUGUAACGGGGCUCAAACCACACACCGAAGCUGCGGGUGUCACGUAAGUGACGCGGUAGAGGAGCGUUCUGUAAGCCUGUGAAGGUGAGUUGAGAAGCUUGCUGGAGGUAUCAGAAGUGCGAAUGCUGACAUGAGUAACGACAAUGGGUGUGAAAAACACCCACGCCGAAAGACCAAGGGUUCCUGCGCAACGUUAAUCGACGCAGGGUUAGUCGGUUCCUAAGGCGAGGCUGAAAAGCGUAGUCGAUGGGAAACAGGUUAAUAUUCCUGUACUUCUGGUUACUGCGAUGGAGGGACGGAGAAGGCUAGGCCAGCUUGGCGUUGGUUGUCCAAGUUUAAGGUGGUAGGCUGAAAUCUUAGGUAAAUCCGGGGUUUCAAGGCCGAGAGCUGAUGACGAGUCGUCUUUUAGAUGACGAAGUGGUUGAUGCCAUGCUUCCAAGAAAAGCUUCUAAGCUUCAGGUAACCAGGAACCGUACCCCAAACCGACACAGGUGGUCGGGUAGAGAAUACCAAGGCGCUUGAGAGAACUCGGGUGAAGGAACUAGGCAAAAUGGCACCGUAACUUCGGGAGAAGGUGCGCCGGCUAGGGUGAAGGAUUUACUCCGUAAGCUCUGGCUGGUCGAAGAUACCAGGCCGCUGCGACUGUUUAUUAAAAACACAGCACUCUGCAAACACGAAAGUGGACGUAUAGGGUGUGACGCCUGCCCGGUGCCGGAAGGUUAAUUGAUGGGGUUAGCGCAAGCGAAGCUCUUGAUCGAAGCCCCGGUAAACGGCGGCCGUAACUAUAACGGUCCUAAGGUAGCGAAAUUCCUUGUCGGGUAAGUUCCGACCUGCACGAAUGGCGUAACGAUGGCGGCGCUGUCUCCACCCGAGACUCAGUGAAAUUGAAAUCGCUGUGAAGAUGCAGUGUAUCCGCGGCUAGACGGAAAGACCCCGUGAACCUUUACUGUAGCUUUGCACUGGACUUUGAGCCUGCUUGUGUAGGAUAGGUGGGAGGCUUUGAAGCGUGGACGCCAGUUCGCGUGGAGCCAUCCUUGAAAUACCACCCUGGCAUGCUUGAGGUUCUAACUCUGGUCCGUGAUCCGGAUCGAGGACAGUGUAUGGUGGGCAGUUUGACUGGGGCGGUCUCCUCCUAAAGAGUAACGGAGGAG
This 2267-nucleotide ribosomal RNA is filed under the name Pseudomonas aeruginosa. Its description in RNAcentral is "bacterial LSU rRNA". It matches the Rfam family "Bacterial large subunit ribosomal RNA", at positions 3 to 2308 of the family's 2925-position model. The record is from RNAcentral. Lineage: Bacteria; Pseudomonadati; Pseudomonadota; Gammaproteobacteria; Pseudomonadales; Pseudomonadaceae.